CCUACGGGUGGCAGCAGUGGGGAAUAGUGCACAAUGGGGGAAACCCUGAUGCAGCGACGCCGCGUGAGUGAAGAAGGAAUUCGGUAUGUAAAGCUCUAGCAGCAGGGAAGAAACAGACGGUACCUGAGUAAGAAGCCCCGGCGAACUACGUGCCAGCAGCCGCGGUAAUACGUAGGGGGCAAGCGUUAUCCGGAUUGACUGGGGGUCCAGGGAGCGUAGACGGCGACGAAAGUCUGAAGUGAAAGCCCGCGGCUUAACCGCGGAACUGCUUUGGAAACUUUUUUGCUGGAGUACCGGAGAGGUAAGCGGACUUCCUCGUGUAGCGGUGCAAUGCGUAGAUCUUAGGAG
Molecule: ribosomal RNA, 348 nt
Filed under: uncultured bacterium
Lineage: Bacteria
Description: partial 16S ribosomal RNA
Rfam family: Bacterial small subunit ribosomal RNA
Source: RNAcentral